Molecule: long non-coding RNA, 976 nt
Organism: Cavia porcellus (domestic guinea pig)
Lineage: Eukaryota; Metazoa; Chordata; Mammalia; Rodentia; Caviidae
Exons: 2
Source: RefSeq, a predicted model, not a curated record
AACAUCUGAGAGCUGUGAAGUUUGGGGAAAGGAGAAUGUUAACAUCUGCUGGCUGCUCCUUACCGAAGACCCCAGCACACAGGAUGAGGUCCUCUCUCCACAGGGCUAACAGUGCUCGUCUUCACUGGGAAGUUAGGAAACGAAGCCACUGGCUGGUUCUGCAGCUUUUUGGUCACUUUCAGCAGUGAAGACAGACGACUGCCAGUACCUUCACCUGCCUGUCCUCAUCAUGCCCUCAUGACCCCUGGCCUUGCUUAAGGCUUAUCCAUCAGGGUCCUGUCUUCAGAAAUCAGGGGGAGAAGUAGGCUCUGGUCUUUGUUUUUUGAAGUUUCCAAACUCUAAUGUAGGUGUUUUGAGAAUUUUCUUUCUGUGUCCCUCCACAGCGGAAUGGUCAAGUUUUGUGGCUCAGGUACCAGCAGUUCAGGAGAUAAGAUGCUGUAUUGGUUACCUCUUGUUACAAUCAGGCUUCAUAACAGCUAUCCCAAAACUCAGAGGUCUGAAUGAUGAAUGAUGUCCUUUCCCACAAAUCUGUCUGUCUGUGAUCAGCUGAGCAGCUCAGCUUCAGGCCAUAGCAGCGGAAGAGCCAGCUGAUUGAGCUGGAUGGGUCCAGGUUCACUGGGCUGUUCUGGUCCAUACAUCUCUUUCCCCUGCGGCUAGAGGGCCAUUUGGGGCGUAUUCAUGUCAGGAUGCUAACAGAGGCACCAGUGGACAUCUGCAGGCAUUGUGCCUCCAUAUAACUUUAUUCAAAAGUGUAAAAGGAACAAGGAUUCUCCUUGAGCACCUCUUUCCUUUCAGCUGUGUGGAUACUCUUUCUCCUGAGUGCUCAGCAGAUUUCCUUCUCCAUCUCACCUACCAGAACUGGGUGCUAUGGCCAUCCCUGGGUAAAUCUCUGGAAAUGGGAAAGAGAUGAGUGUGAUGGGCUUCAAAAAAUGCUUGUUGAGUGAAUGUUUAAAUAAAAUGAGCAAUUUCUCUCUUU